This 292-nucleotide ribosomal RNA is filed under the name uncultured bacterium. RNAcentral describes it as "partial 16S ribosomal RNA". It matches the Rfam family "Bacterial small subunit ribosomal RNA", at positions 238 to 520 of the family's 1533-position model. The record is from RNAcentral.
CGAUUAGCCCGUUGGUGAGGUAACGGCCCACCAAGGCUGAGAUCGGUAGCCGGUCUGAGAGGACGCACGGCCACACUGGAAAUGAGACACGGUCCAGACUCCUACGGGAGGCAGCAGUGGGGAAUCUUCCGCAAUGGACGAAAGUCUGACGGAGCAACGCCGCGUGUAUGAUGAAGGUCUUCGGAUUGUAAAGUACUGUGCUUUGGGGAAGAACGGUCGGUUUGAGAAUAUUGAAUCGACAUGACGGUACCCAAGGAGGAAGCCCCGGCUAACUACGUGCCAGCCGCCGCGG